RNAcentral lists this ribosomal RNA (292 nucleotides) under uncultured bacterium. Its description in RNAcentral is "partial 16S ribosomal RNA". It matches the Rfam family "Bacterial small subunit ribosomal RNA", at positions 29 to 334 of the family's 1533-position model. The record is from RNAcentral.
AACGAACGCUGGCGGCAGGCCUAACACAUGCAAGUCGAACGAAGGCUCCUCUUCGGAGGAUGUCCUUAGUGGCGCACGGGUGAGUAACGCGUGGGAAUCUGCCCAUUGGUGGGGAAUAACUUCGGGAAACUGAAGCUAAUACCGCAUAAGCCCUCAGGGGGAAAGGCUUCGGCCGCCGAUGGAUGAGCCCGCGUUGGAUUAGCUUGUUGGUGGGGUAAUGGCCUACCAAGGCGACGAUUCAUAGCUGGUCUGAGAGGACGAUCAGCCACACUGGGACUGAGACACGGCCCAG